RNAcentral lists this ribosomal RNA (630 nucleotides) under uncultured Megasphaera sp. Its description in RNAcentral is "bacterial SSU rRNA". It matches the Rfam family "Bacterial small subunit ribosomal RNA", at positions 59 to 666 of the family's 1533-position model. Lineage: Bacteria; Bacillati; Bacillota; Negativicutes; Veillonellales; Veillonellaceae. The record is from RNAcentral.
AGGUUUAACGAGAAGCUUGCUUCUCAUUAGACCGAGUGGCAAACGGGUGAGUAACGCGUAAACAACCUGCCCUCAGGAUGGGGACAACAGCUGGAAACGGCUGCUAAUACCGAAUACGAUCACAGUACCGCAUGGCGCUGUGAUGAAAGGAUGGCCUCUAUUUAUAAGCUAUCGCCGGAGGAGGGGUUUGCGUCUGAUUAGCUAGUUGGAGGGGUAACGGCCCACCAAGGCGACGAUCAGUAGCCGGUCUGAGAGGACGAACGGCCACAUUGGAACUGAGACACGGUCCAGACUCCUACGGGAGGCAGCAGUGGGGAAUCUUCCGCAAUGGGCGAAAGCCUGACGGAGCAACGCCGCGUGAGUGAUGACGGCCUUCGGGUUGUAAAGCUCUGUUAUAUGGGACGAACGGGCAUGGGGCGAAUACCCCCAUGCAGUGACGGUACCGUAAGAGAAAGCCACGGCUAACUACGUGCCAGCAGCCGCGGUAAUACGUAGGUGGCAAGCGUUGUCCGGAAUUAUUGGGCGUAAAGGGCGUGUAGGCGGCCAGACAAGUCUGUCUUAAAAGUGCGGGGCUCAACCCCGUGAUGGGAUGGAAACUGUCGGGCUAGAGUGUCGGAGAGGAAAGCGGAA